This 437-nucleotide ribosomal RNA is filed under the name uncultured bacterium. RNAcentral's name for it is "bacterial SSU rRNA". It matches the Rfam family "Bacterial small subunit ribosomal RNA", at positions 335 to 762 of the family's 1533-position model. The record is from RNAcentral.
ACUCCUACGGGAGGCAGCAGUGGGGAAUAUUGCACAAUGGGGGAAACCCUGAUGCAGCCAUGCCGCGUGUGUGAAGAAGGCCUUCGGGUUGUAAAGCACUUUCAGUAGGGAGGAAGGUAGUGUAGUUAACACCUGCACUAUUUGACGUUACCUACAGAAGAAGCACCGGCUAACUCCGUGCCAGCAGCCGCGGUAAUACGGAGGGUGCGAGCGUUAAUCGGAAUUACUGGGCGUAAAGCGCAUGCAGGCGGCCUGUUAAGUCAGAUGUGAAAGCCCGGGGCUUAACCUCGGAAUUGCAUUUGAAACUGGCAGGCUAGAGUCUUGUAAGAGGGGGGUAGAAUUUCAGGUGUAGCGGUGAAAUGCGUAGAGAUCUGAAAGGAAUACCAGUGGCGAAGGCGGCCCCCUGGACAAAGACUGACGCUCAGAUGCGAAAGCGU